Molecule: transfer RNA, 72 nt
Filed under: Ovis aries (sheep)
Lineage: Eukaryota; Metazoa; Chordata; Mammalia; Artiodactyla; Bovidae
Rfam family: tRNA
About the family: Transfer RNA (tRNA) molecules are approximately 80 nucleotides in length.
Source: Rfam by way of RNAcentral
UCCCUGGUGGCUCAGAUGGUAAAGCGUCUGCCUGCAAUGCAGGAGACCUGGGUUCGAUCCCUGGGUGGAGAA